GAUGAACGCUGGCGGCGUGCUUAACACAUGCAAGUCGAACGGUGAAGCCAAGCUUGCUUGGUGGAUCAGUGGCGAACGGGUGGGUAACACGUGAGCAACCUGCCCUGGACUCUGGGAUAAGCGCUGGAAACGGCGUCUAAUACUGGAUAUGAGCCUUCAUCGCAUGGUGGGGGUUGGAAAGAUUUUUUGGUCUGGGAUGGGCUCGCGGCCUACCAGCUUGUUGGUGAGGUAAUGGCUCACCAAGGCGUCGACGGGUAGCCGGCCUGAGAGGGUGACCGGCCACACUGGGACUGGGACACGGCCCAGACUCCUACGGGAGGCAGCAGGGGGGAAUAUUGCACAAUGGGCGAAAGCCUGAUGCAGCAACGCCGCGUGAGGGAUGACGGCCUUCGGGUUGUAAACCUCUUUUAGCAGGGAAGAAGCGAAAGUGACGGUACCUGCAGAAAAAGCGCCGGCUAACUACGUGCCAGCCGCCGCCGUAA
Molecule: ribosomal RNA, 482 nt
Filed under: uncultured bacterium
Lineage: Bacteria
Description: partial 16S ribosomal RNA
Rfam family: Bacterial small subunit ribosomal RNA
Source: RNAcentral